Molecule: non-coding RNA, 97 nt
Filed under: marine eukaryotic metagenome
Description: Moco (molybdenum cofactor) riboswitch
Rfam family: Molybdenum/Tungsten riboswitch aptamer (Moco RNA motif)
Source: RNAcentral
UUUCCGAGCUUUUAUACCUAAGACAUUAUUGUGUUAUGGUAUGAAGCCAAUGGGCAUGAUUCGGAAACGAAUAUGCCUCCCAUAUUGGAAAGGAAGG